GGUGGAAAGAUUUAUCGGUCUUGGAUGGACUCGCGGCCUAUCAGCUUGUUGGUGAGGUAAUGGCUCACCAAGGCGACGACGGGUAGCCGGCCUGAGAGGGUGACCGGCCACACUGGGACUGAGACACGGCCCAGACUCCUACGGGAGGCAGCAGUGGGGAAUAUUGCACAAUGGGCGCAAGCCUGAUGCAGCGACGCCSCGUGAGGGAUGACGGCCUUCGGGUUGUAAACCUCUUUCAGUAGGGAAGAAGCCUUUCGGGGUGACGGUACCUGCAGAAGAAGCGCCGGCUAACUACGUGCCAGCAGCCGCGGUAAUACGUAGGGCGCGAGCGUUAUCCGGAAUUAUUGGGCGUAAAGAGCUCGUAGGCGGUUUGUCGCGUCUGCUGUGAAAGCCCGGGGCUUAACUCCGGGUCUGCAGUGGGUACGGGCAGACUAGAGUGCAGUAGGGGAGACUGGAAUUCCUGGUGUAGCGGUGAAAUGCGCAGAUAUCAGGAGGAACACCGAUGGCGAAGGCAGGUCUCUGGGCUGUUACUGACGCUGAGGAGCGAAAGCAUGGGGAGCGAACAGGAUUAGAUACCCUGGUAGUCCAUGCCGUAAACGUUGGGCACUAGGUGUGGGGGACAUUCCACGUUUUCCGCGCCGUAGCUAACGCAUUAAGUGCCCCSGCCUGGGGGAGUACGGCCGCAAGGCUAAAACUCAAAGGAAUUUGACGGGGCCCGCCACAAGCGGCGG
This 731-nucleotide ribosomal RNA is filed under the name Citricoccus sp. PO2-8. RNAcentral describes it as "bacterial SSU rRNA". It matches the Rfam family "Bacterial small subunit ribosomal RNA", at positions 198 to 935 of the family's 1533-position model. Lineage: Bacteria; Bacillati; Actinomycetota; Actinomycetes; Micrococcales; Micrococcaceae. The record is from RNAcentral.